This is an RNA transcript of Panicum virgatum (switchgrass), 1526 nucleotides long. It is a transcript of the gene named protein SYM1-like, with no coding region annotated. The transcript has 3 exons. The record is from RefSeq and is a predicted model, not a curated record. NCBI's taxonomy places the organism in Eukaryota, Viridiplantae, Streptophyta, Magnoliopsida, Poales, Poaceae.
CUUGCUAUUUGCUGGUUUUGCUAUUUAGUAUACUUAUCUGAUAUUGCUCUUGUUGGUUUUGCCGUCUGUAUGUGCUGAAGUUUGCACAGAUUUCGGCAACAACUUUGGUGAGAUUUGGACACCUUUUGUGUUCAUGUUUGGCUAUCAGAUUAAAUGAUUAAUACGAGCAGAGGAAUAGUUAGCAUGUUCUAAUUUUCAGCCAGGGUUUCCUACCAUCAAGUUUCUUAGCUUUUACGUGAUUUAAUAGACAAGGCAGACUGUAGUAUACCCUUUUUCUUGGUCCACCACAACCAGCCUGUGAACAAGAAAAAUUAAAAGUUGCUAUUUCCCUGUUUCUGAGCUUUCUGUUUUAGUUGGUUUUGUUAUUCUUGGGUUACAUGAAUGAAUAUUCACAGAUUUCUCAUUUGGAACUCAUCAUGUACGCAUUGAUAAGUAAAAUUAGCAAUUAUGAAGCUAAAUUACCAGAGUUUCUCAGUUAUUUGUUUGAAACAACCAGUCUUUUUCUUCUUAUCUUUUCGGACCCAAAUUGACUUGAAUGAUGCAACAUCUUAUUUUUCCUUCAUGUGCCUUCGUAUGGCUUCCUUCUUUAUGGUCCACGAUCCUAUGCAUGAUAUCAGUUUCUUGAUCGCUGUAUGCCCAAGCAGUCAUUUGUAAAUUUGUCAACUAAGGUCAUACUGAACCAGAUCGUGCUUGGUCCUUGUGUUAUUGCUGUAGUUUUUGCUUGGAACAACUUAUGGUUAGGGAAAUUAUCAGAGCUGCCAUCUAAAUAUCAGAAUGAUGCGCUUCCUACACUUCUAUAUGGUAAUCCUUCGGCCUGAAUGCAGUUUGAACUACGGGAACAGAAAUAACUGAUAUUAUAGUACGUUUCACUUUGUCAUGGAUAAUGCAGGGUUUAAGUUUUGGAUUCCUGUAUUAAUUGUCAACUUUGGGUAUGGACAUUUGGCUUCUCAUUUUUAAUGUUCAUCUCAGAUAUUUCUAGUCCCAAUCAGGCUAUGGUUAGAUAAACUGGAUAACUAUUUGAUUGCUACUUGCUCCAUUGGAGCAAUGCAGCUGGUUCUUAUGCUAGUUUUGGUUGUGUGCCAGGAUGAUUCCUUUGCCAGCUCGUGUUGCCUUUAUGACCUCUUGUGCCAUUUUUUGUAACUUUUAUUUAUCGACUGCUAUGAACAAGUGAAUCUUAUUACUGUUCAUCAGAGAAGAAUGUGAAGGAGAUAGUUUUGACAGGCAUGGAAGGUUUCUUCCUCUUGAACAGUUCCGGUGGAUCAGCAUAAGGUCGCUGUAAAACUUAUUCAAGAUGUUGACGAGCAUAACAUCAAUGGAGGAUGUGAAGUUUUGUCUGAUCAUGUAUGAAGCACCUGGCUCCAUUCUGACUUCAAAACUCAAAAGCCGUUCAAUUUGUUAUUUAGGAUAUGUGCUGCAUUAGCUUACUUCAAUGACAAUGGCAUAUUUAUAUUCAUAUCUGAAUAGAGAUGCAGGUGUAUUAGUUAUGCUAUGAGAAAUUGUGAAUUCAAUGCUGGAUGUUGUAUCUU